Molecule: ribosomal RNA, 465 nt
Filed under: uncultured Klebsiella sp.
Lineage: Bacteria; Pseudomonadati; Pseudomonadota; Gammaproteobacteria; Enterobacterales; Enterobacteriaceae
Description: bacterial SSU rRNA
Rfam family: Bacterial small subunit ribosomal RNA
Source: RNAcentral
CCUACGGGGUGCAGCAGUGGGGAAUAUUGCACAAUGGGCGCAAGCCUGAUGCAGCCAUGCCGCGUGUGUGAAGAAGGCCUUCGGGUUGUAAAGCACUUUCAGCGGGGAGGAAGGCGGUGAGGUUAAUAACCUCAUCGAUUGACGUUACCCGCAGAAGAAGCACCGGCUAACUCCGUGCCAGCAGCCGCGGUAAUACGGAGGGUGCAAGCGUUAAUCGGAAUUACUGGGCGUAAAGCGCACGCAGGCGGUCUGUCAAGUCGGAUGUGAAAUCCCCGGGCUCAACCUGGGAACUGCAUUCGAAACUGGCAGGCUAGAGUCUUGUAGAGGGGGGUAGAAUUCCAGGUGUAGCGGUGAAAUGCGUAGAGAUCUGGAGGAAUACCGGUGGCGAAGGCGGCCCCCUGGACAAAGACUGACGCUCAGGUGCGAAAGCGUGGGGAGCGAGCAGGAUUAGAUACCCGAGUAGUC